This 77-nucleotide transfer RNA is filed under the name Trebonia kvetii. RNAcentral describes it as "Actinobacteria bacterium 15TR583 tRNA-Gly". It matches the Rfam family "tRNA". Rfam says of the family: Transfer RNA (tRNA) molecules are approximately 80 nucleotides in length. Their secondary structure includes four short double-helical elements and three loops (D, anti-codon, and T loops). Further hydrogen bonds mediate the characteristic L-shaped molecular structure. tRNAs have two regions of fundamental functional importance: the anti-codon, which is responsible for specific mRNA codon recognition, and the 3' end, to which the tRNAs corresponding amino acid is attached (by aminoacyl-tRNA synthetases). tRNAs cope with the degeneracy of the genetic code in two manners: having more than one tRNA (with a specific anti-codon) for a particular amino acid; and 'wobble' base-pairing, i.e. permitting non-standard base-pairing at the 3rd anti-codon position. The record is from RNAcentral. Lineage: Bacteria; Bacillati; Actinomycetota; Actinomycetes; Streptosporangiales; Treboniaceae.
GCGGUUGUGGCUCGGCAGGUCAGAGCGUCGGCUUGCCAAGUCGAAGGUCACCGCUUCGAAGCCGGUCAGCCGCUCCA